This 263-nucleotide ribosomal RNA is filed under the name uncultured bacterium. RNAcentral's name for it is "partial 16S ribosomal RNA". It matches the Rfam family "Bacterial small subunit ribosomal RNA", at positions 524 to 777 of the family's 1533-position model. The record is from RNAcentral.
UACGUAGGGUGCGAGCGUUAAUCGGAAUUACUGGGCGUAAAGCGGUGCGCAGGCGGUUCUGGUAAAAGUCAGCUGUGAAAAGCCCCGGGCUUAACCUGGGAAUGGCGGUUGAAACUACAGGACUAGAAUCUGGCAGAGGGGGGUGGAAUUGACCACGUGUAGCAGUGAAAUGCGUAGAGAUGUGGAGGAACACCGAUGGCGAAGGCAGCCCCCCUGGGCUGAGAUUGACGCUCAGGCACGAAAGCGUGGGGAAGCAAACAGGG